This is a long non-coding RNA of Alligator mississippiensis (American alligator), 3259 nucleotides long. RefSeq lists it as uncharacterized. The record is from RefSeq and is a predicted model, not a curated record. The transcript is spliced from 6 exons. NCBI's taxonomy places the organism in Eukaryota, Metazoa, Chordata, Crocodylia, Alligatoridae.
UUUAUAUAUUCAUGGAAAACAAAAGUGCAGCUUUCACUCUGCCAGCCCCCUCUUGCCAAAUUUUUUUUCUUUUGGGUUGAUGUAGGUGCUCCAGUCCCUGGCACUGCAUUGCGAUAGCAUUUCUGAUAUGACGGUCCUUUACACAAUCCCCAAAGAAUGCCAGUUUCUAUUUUUCAGUUUGCAGGAAACUUAUGGGUGGGAGUGUGUUAUGAAGAACAAGAUGGCAGCCAAACAAGCCACUGAAUGGCUUUCAUAUCCGCAAUGAGCUGUUUCACAUUUGGUGCCGAUUAGGAGACAUUCCAAGCUACCGGUACUAUUUCUAGUCUCGAUACUUUGAAACGUGUGAAGUAUGCGGACCAGAUUCUGAUCCAGUCAUUAUAAACCAAAUUUUUGACAGUGAGAGACGCAGUGUAAAAGCACAAGUCAGAUCUGGAAGAAAGAUGGGGAGAUAUGUCAUGAGAGAGCCAGUCUUGCUGGAACAAGGCAUUCUAAGGAACCACGCAGGCUUAUUCCCAGGUCUUUGCAGCCAAGCAACAUCAUUUCCCCUGACAUCCAUCUUGCCAAAGAGGAAGGCAGAAAAGAAGCAAGAGACAGAGGACCUGAAAUAUCCCUGAUGAGUGGGAAGAUGAGAGGAGAAAAGUACUGUGACUUGCCCAAGACCGUGAAGGGAAGUCAGUGGCAGAGCCCUGAUGAGACUGCGCGAGAUCGGUAAACAGCGUUGUAUCCUGCAAAGGCAAAAUGUGAUUCUGCAGAAUCUAUCUGGUGCCCUUAAAACUGCAGUCAGCCCUGACCAAAACGGCUCAUUACCUGAAGUGGCAUCUAUUGUUUGCUGUAUAAGUGUAAGUAUAAUCAAUUCUAGCUGGCUCAAUAUUUCUGAGGGAUCAGGAUUUCGUUAAUAUUCUGCACGCCUCUCCUUUCCCUCUGUGUCUCUGUGUGUGUAUGUAUCUGGAGGAGCAGCCUGAAUACAGUAUCUCUGUGUUUUUCUUCUCCCCAGGAUGACAGAUAUUUUAACGAUGACAGUAGAUUAAUAUCUCUUUAAUCAGCCAAAAUGAACAUGACACGCAAGGGUGACAGCUCAAUUUUCUGCUAACAGAUUGCUCCUAUCAAGUCCUCCCAUUCUCGCUGAUUUUUAUUCCUGGCAGAGAUGAUGUCCUAGCUUUGGGAGGACCCCAGCUCCCCGUCAGCUCAUCAGACACCCAUUAAAUAAAUCUCGUAACACAUAGGCGUUACUCACACGCCUGUCAGGAUGCUGGCUGGCUGGUUGGCUGGCUGGGGAAUUGAAUGAGCUCCGACACACUGAAUAGGGAGAAAUUGUCACUGAGCAGGGCGAAGCUGCAGUGUGUGUUGCAGAAUAUACAGUUAUGGAGGGUCCCUUGUCCUCCUGCUUGUGGUUAUUUUUUUGUUUGUCGGCUGCUCGGCAUUGAAAUGUGGAUCAGACACUGAGACUGUCUCCUGGCAGACAAAUUAAAAAAAACCCCCAUGUCUGGGGACAGAAAGGUGGAAGGAGGGAAUAGCACUGCAGGUGGAAGUGAUACACUAAAUACUAGCCCCAGAAUUAGCUAUGCUCAGAGCUUGUUAGCAGGUGGGGUUUCAGGAGUAUCUUGUUUCUGCUUUGGAAAUUUAAUCUGCAGGAUCUAAUUCAGAUCUUUCCCCCCCAUGGCGUUUCAAAUGCAGUAACUCCAGAUAUUGUGCAAAGUCAUUGCCCAGCCUUUGCAGGGGUAGGUCUCCCUUUUACUGGAGCAGGUCCUGACCCCCAAACCCAUUCAGGGCUCAAUCUUUGCUGCUUUGACUUGUAACACAACCCCAUCUCCGAAGCUUAUGCCACUGCCAAGGACACAAGGAAAGCUUCAAAUCCAUCAAGCUACAUUUCUGUGACUACAGUACUGGCGCUUGCAGCACGCUGUUCAGUAAACCUAAUAUUCCAAGAGCUGAUAGUUAACUAUUACAUUUGGGAAAGGAGAUGAUCCCAGUCUGUAUUCUGAAGGACCAAUAUUGUUGUUGCUUUUUUAAAAGGAUUUUUACUGAUUUAGAGUCUAAACCUGUUGCCUUUGAUAUUACCGAAAUUCAGCCAUUUCUUUUCAUUGUGAAUCACUCAGACCAUCUGCCUUGUCUUCCUUUAAAAAGAAAUCAACCAACAAAGAGAAAAAAUAAAUAAAAUGCAUUUGAAAUGGCUUAGUUUGGCAAGACCCUCCGAAAACUAUAAAUCAUGCUUGCAAACCUGGCCUAUGUGAACUGGAUUUGCAUUGAAUCAAAUUUUGGUUUUCUUACAAAACUUUUUGUGCUGUGGCUGGCCAUUCACGUAGUUGCAGACAAGAGGUGUGUUUGUUUUAAAAGAUAAAAUGCAAGUAUUUUUAAUGUAAAUGGUUCCAAGAGAAAAUUAACAAUAAAUUACCCCAAUGAUGAUGUUAAAGAUAUCCAUAUGAUUGUAAUUAUGAAGUCAGAUCUUUCCAAAGGAGCGUUCUGUCAUUUCCCAUUCUUGUUACAAUCUCUGUCGUGCAAACAUGUUCAUUAUUUUUGCCAUUUUCUCUUCUUAUUACAGCCUUUGCCAUAAGAAUAAGUCAUCAAGGUUUUAAGUGACUAAUAAAUUCUCUAAAUUACCGUCCAAGGAUGCAUUGCUUUAAUUUUUUUCCUCUCCAUAUUCUGUAUCAUAAUUGCCUAACCAUUUCUCACCCUCCAUUUUUAAUCACUCAUUAGACUAAUAGGAAAAGAAUAGGAUUUACUCUACCUAGAAUACUGUAGCAAGCCUUGGACACUACAGUACCAGAAAGGCAGUUGUAAAUUGGAGAGAAAACAUGACUUCUGUGUCCUUUGAAAAUACUUCAGAUUUCAACUCUCAAGAAAAGACCAGACAUGACUAACAGAUGGUAUCUGCAUAAUCAUUCACUUAAUAAAUACAUUGAGAAAUGUGUGCCCUGUGGGUGGACAAUUCACAAAAGUCCCAUCCAGCAAAGUGUUUCAGAAUAGAAAUAAAUUGAAGCAUGCAGGUAGUUCCACUGAGUUCACUGAGACUUUUCACGUGCUUCCAGUUUGGAGGUUUCUCAAGUAAGUAAAGUAGUGAGUAAAGUGAUAUGCUUAAGAACAUUACUGAGGCAAGACCAAACAGAACAAGACCAGAAUAAUAACUGGUUAAAAAUGAUUUAUUGAGCUUCAUGCACAGCCAGUCUGAUACCCAGCGGUGCCCACAGUCUACUGGUGUUUGCUGGUAGAUGGAUCACCAGACCGACACUCCAUUUGGCACCAACUGGCUCUCUCCAGUGUA